RNAcentral lists this long non-coding RNA (237 nucleotides) under Mytilus galloprovincialis (Mediterranean mussel). The record is from RNAcentral. Lineage: Eukaryota; Metazoa; Mollusca; Bivalvia; Mytilida; Mytilidae.
GCCAAUAAUAAAGUAUUGAACUUGAAAACGUAUUUCCCUUUACUUUAGAUUUUAACAAAUCUAGCGAGACAUAGAGUUUGCUUUUCCAGUCAUUAUAUCUGGUUUAUUGUGUCACCUCAGUUGGUUCUGAUUUUGAGAUUUAGUCUUGGGUCAAGGUCUUGUGUACGUUCAUUGUUUGGGAGUUUGCUGACAACCUUAUUUGCCAUAUAGCUCUUGCGCGCUACAAUAUAUUAGUAU